RNAcentral lists this ribosomal RNA (308 nucleotides) under uncultured bacterium. RNAcentral describes it as "bacterial SSU rRNA". It matches the Rfam family "Bacterial small subunit ribosomal RNA", at positions 30 to 334 of the family's 1533-position model. The record is from RNAcentral.
AUUGAACGCUAGCGGCAUGCUUAACACAUGCAAGUCGAACGGCAGCACGAGGAGCUUGCUCCUUGGUGGCGAGUGGCGGACGGGUGAGUAACGCGUAGGAAUCUGCCUUGUAGUGGGGGACAACUUGAGGAAACUUGAGCUAAUACCGCAUAAUCCCUACGGAGCAAAGCGGGGGAUCUUCGGACCUCGCGCUAUAAGAUGAGCCUGCGUUAGAUUAGCUUGUUGGUGGGGUAAUGGCCUACCAAGGCGACGAUCUAUAGCUGGUCUGAGAGGAUGAUCAGCCACACUGGGACUGAGACACGGCCCAG